This 157-nucleotide ribosomal RNA is filed under the name Deconica horizontalis. RNAcentral describes it as "5.8S ribosomal RNA". It matches the Rfam family "5.8S ribosomal RNA". From Rfam's summary of the family: 5.8S ribosomal RNA (5.8S rRNA) is a component of the large subunit of the eukaryotic ribosome. It is transcribed by RNA polymerase I as part of the 45S precursor that also contains 18S and 28S rRNA. Lineage: Eukaryota; Fungi; Basidiomycota; Agaricomycetes; Agaricales; Kuehneromycetaceae. The record is from RNAcentral.
CAACUUCAGCAACGGAUCUCUUGGCUCUCGCAUCGAUGAAGAACGCAGCGAAAUGCGAUAAGUAAUGUGAAUUGCAGAAUUCAGUGAAUCAUCGAAUCUUUGAACGCACCUUGCGCUCCUUGGUAUUCCGAGGAGCAUGCCUGUUUGAGUGUCAUUA